Molecule: RNA transcript, 3173 nt
Organism: Hemicordylus capensis (graceful crag lizard)
Lineage: Eukaryota; Metazoa; Chordata; Lepidosauria; Squamata; Cordylidae
Gene name: basic salivary proline-rich protein 4-like
Exons: 3
Source: RefSeq, a predicted model, not a curated record
GUACUGCACCACUGCUCUUAUGGGUGCCCCUUCACUUCCUGAAUGACAGGAAUAAAAAGGUGCCAGGUAUAAUAGUAAGAGGACCACAGGCUUCUAGAUCCUGCAAGACCCGGAGUCUUCCAUUUGACAGCGAUUAGCUCUCACUACUGAGAUCUGGUGCUAGCAGUUAUGAAACCUGAUAGCCGAUCAUCUCGGGCUUUCAUGUAAACCCUAAAGAAAUGUCCAAUGGCUAGCUAGACUUGAAAACAAAUGGCUAGCUAGACUUGGUUUCCCCUUUUGAAAGUCAAGGUGAAGAAGACUGAUGUUUUGAUGUAUUGGUUGCUAUCUGUAGGGAGCUUGUGAAAACUGGCUUUCUACCAGGCUGGUUGAACUGAGUUUCCCUUCAUUAACUCUGGUGUGAGUGGUGUCCCCUGGUCUGCUUUGCUGCCUCUGUCAUGACAUCACUUUCUGGCUCCUACAUCAUAACCUGCAGGUUGCCAUAGGAACAGCAAUACACUUUUUUUUUGGCAUCAUCACUAUUCAGUGGUUUAUUUCUCAGCUGAUGCUCAAUCAGUAGGGAGUGGAGGACGUGGUCUGUGUGGUUAUAUACAUAUAUAUAUAUAUAUAUAUAUUGUAUUUUAGUCUCUCUUGAGAACAUCUCUCAUCAUGGCAGGGGCAGAGGAGGAAAAGCCUAGUGGGAGGAGGCCCAUCACCUCCAGCAGCCUCAUGGUGGCUCGGAAGCUGCUGCUGUCUCCCCUGCUGCGGGAGCGUGGGGCUGCUUCCGGGAAGGACACCCUUUUCUUUGAUGGGCCAGCCCCUGUGGCUGGCCCAUCAAAGAAAAGGGUGAAGCACCCCAAAACAUCAAAGAGGCAGCCCCCCGCAGAAAGCAGCAGCAAGGGGAAGCCACCACAGGAGGGCAGACCAUCAGCCCUCCUGGGCAAGGCCGGUCUGCGUCGGGCUAACAAGGCACCAGGUGGGGGUGUGCCUUCUGGGGAGAAACCCCUUCCCCACCUGGGGGAGGGGAGACUCCCCAGAAGGAGGCUGGAGGCUGCGGGGGAUACAGCCAGGAGAUUGCUGCACAUCCCCAGGAGCAACCUGAGUCUGCACCUUGGGGAGGCUGGGCAGGGCGUCUCCCCGCUGGGGGGGAACCGUUUCUCGGGCUUGUCCCGAGAGACGGUUCUUCCCCAGAUCCCUUCAACUGGGAAGACGACCCUGACCCCAAUGGGGAGACCCCCGCCAAAGCCCUUGCCAUCAUGGCAACAUCCAUCUGCUUGGCGGGGGCCCGAACCAUUGCCAGCGCUCAUGAUCAAAGCGCUGGGGCCCCCCAAGGCAGACACAGAGCCUUGCUCCUGGGGACAUCCCCCCUCAGUCUCCAGCUCUGUGGCCAAACCACCGCCACCACACUUCCCACCGAAGCCACGCCCUUGGGAAGAACCACCAUCUCAUCUUUCCCAAGGGCCGUGGCUUCAGGUGCGAGCCCUACGCAGACCGGCUGAUGUGCCGGUGGCAACCCCUUGGCGGUGAGACAGCAGCAGUGGAAGGCCACCACCCAAAAUACCAUCGUCGGGGCUGCUGGAGGACCUCCACUAGGUCUCGCCCAUUCUGCCUUGCCAUGAUGGGAGAACUGGUUCUUCGCUGCCCUUGGGAUGAAUCACCAUCUCAACUUUCCCAAGGGCCGUGGCUUCAGGUGCAAGCCUUACAGAGACCAGCUGAUGUUCCGGUGGCAACACCUUGGCAGUGAGACAGCAGCAGUGGAAGGCCACUACCCCAAAUACCAUCAUCUGGGCUGCUGGAGCACCUCCACUAGGUCUCGCCAGUUCUGCCUUGUCAUGAUGGGAGAACUGGUCCUUUGCUGCCAUGAACCAAAGUGAGGACCCCUGUCCACUCUGGAUGAGACCUCUUCUGAGGAGCAGCAUUGGGUACAGAACCUGGACGUACUUCAGACCUCAGACGAUCCAGGACCCCCAAGAUCAUCUCAUGCCCCAAGGCCAGACGACUCACCAUUACCACCAGAUACAGUGGGAUGCCACCACCCCAAAUACCAUCAUCUGGAGGACUCACCAUUACCAGUAGACUUGGAUUCUGAGGGGUCAGCAAGGUGUAGAUACUGGAGCCUAAGAAGCAGGAAUAACACCAUCACUGAAUGGAAUUAACAGGAAGGACAGAAGAAAUUAGUAACUAUGGAAGCAGAUUGGCAGCCUUUCUUUGUCUUUCCAGAAGAGGUAAGAAAAGCAAUAUAUUUAUACGAGAGAAACCUUGAGUAUUGCACAGAUGAAAAACUGGAAGCAGAGUUCUGCCAGAAAGAGACUGUACUUAAGCACUUUCCCCCGUUUGAGGAGGAGAGCUUUCCAUUCCACUUUUCCCUUUCAGAAAAAUAUUCCCAUUUCCAUUUCCCUUUCCCCUUCCCCAAAAUAAUGAGGGACUUCAAACAGCAAAGUUUUGACAAACUCUCAACCUCCUAUGUUGCACAGCCUUUGGUGAAAUUAAUAGCUUUCAAUCUUUUUCCAGUUUCUUCUAGAUCUCCUAGAAAGGCUUCUGAUUGUGAAUGGCAGGUUGGGGGGGGGGGAAUUCCUGUUCCUUUUUGGCCAAAAAGAUUGUUUUAUGUUUGCUUUUCAAGGACAGGAAGGGAUGCUCUUGGACAGCCACAGGCUAGUCUUUCCUCUCUAGAUCUGCUCAGCAUCCUGAAUACUUCCCCAGAGAAGAGAAUGAAGAAUGAAGGACAGCUGGGUUGCCUGGAAAACUGAGCGUCAUCUGUGGAGCUUUGUUUCCAUAGCAGCUCUGAUUCAAGUGGGAAAGUCUUGAAACUGUCUUAUGGACUGUGACAGAGGAAAUACAACCUCCAUUUUGUGUCGGGACAUUCCUGUGCAUAUCGGAAAGACUUCAGCACUUUUUGUGCAUCACAGAAGAUAGGCUUCAGGAUCCAGACUAGGAGCUAAGGUCAAAGGAUUCAUCUCUUGGGUUGGUUAUCUAAAAAAUGUCGAUCCAUUUAACGUGGGAUGUAAACAGUGAAUUGGUUUCUAUACAUGUUUGUCUUUGCUUGUUGAAUGUGUACCAUUUACAUUUGUCUUGGUAGCCUGUUUUGCAACAUUUAAGUAUGUUGUGUAUAUAUAUAUAUCCUUUCAAUGUUCUGAGGAGAAAAUAACACACUUGGCAGACUGAAAUUGUGGCAACUUGUGAAUAAACCAUCCUCUGGU